This 301-nucleotide ribosomal RNA is filed under the name uncultured bacterium. RNAcentral's name for it is "partial 16S ribosomal RNA". It matches the Rfam family "Bacterial small subunit ribosomal RNA", at positions 509 to 809 of the family's 1533-position model. The record is from RNAcentral.
CAGUCGCCGCGGUAAUACGGAGGGUGCAAGCGUUAUCCGGAUUUAUUGGGUUUAAAGGGUCCGUAGGCGGAUCUGUAAGUCAGUGGUGAAAUCUCACAGCUUAACUGUGAAACUGCCAUUGAUACUGCAGGUCUUGAGUAAAUUUGAAGUGGCUGGAAUAAGUAGUGUAGCGGUGAAAUGCAUAGAUAUUACUUAGAACACCAAUUGCGAAGGCAGGUCACUAAGAUUUAACUGACGCUGAUGGACGAAAGCGUGGGGAGCGAACAGGAUUAGAUACCCCGGUAGUCCCUGUCUCUUAUAA